AUGGAGGAGUAUUUAAGUAGGAGAUCCAAAACAGCAAUGGGGUUUCUCAGAAGAGGUUCUGGCAUAAAUCGAAGCCCUGAAGAGACAACCAGUCAGAACACUGAUGUACAGGGAAGCACUUCAAGAGUCAAUCCUAUGAAAACCAGGCUGGCUGAUAAUCAGGAGAGACCAAGAUACUUACAUGGCUCAUAUAAAUAUGCAAGCUCAAAUGUCAUGUCUGGAAGCUCUUCCAAAUUUCCUAAGAACUUUCCCCUUAGGAAAUUUGGUGAGGAAAAGCGAAGGCAGACUUUGUUCGAUGGGGCUGACGUUGCUGAAAGUAGUAGAAGAAAGUCCGAUGCCAGGUAUCUGGAGGGUAGUAAGAAACUCGUUAUAGAGAAUCAGAGUUCACAUGCUCCACAGACUGAGACAGAAAGAUUAACUGCCAAAGAUGAUGAACUGAUAGCACCUGAUCCUGAGGUUUCACAUUCUGCUGGUUUUUCAGGUAUGCAUGCACGUACAGCUGAGUCCUUGGUAAGGAGUGCUUCACUAAGUUCUUGCUCUUCAUUUAGUAAUCAGCCUAGUAUACCUAGAAUUCCUAUCGCUGGUGUGAAGCCAUCAAAUAGUCUUGUUAGUGGAGAACAGAGACGUGGACCACGUGGUCUUAAAAACCUUAGUUGCACUUCAGUCUCUGAUGUUCUGCCAUCUGGAUGCUCGUCUGAUUCUGUUCGUACCAGUAGCUUUGAUGCUAUGAGAAAGAGAACUUCUGAUGGGGAAAGCUCUUCCAGAUCAAGAGUCAUAUGUGAUCCAUCCAGUUUAGGUCAUUCACAUACAAUAUAUCCUAGCAUUAGUGGUCCUAGAAUCAGAACUACCGAAGAAUCAGUUCGGCAACAAACAUUACGAAGCCGCAGUAGAAAUAUUCAGGAUUCAGCAGUAUCAGUAAGGACAAGACGGACUUCUCCUAGAGACACUAGGUUCAGGUUGUCUGAGGAAAGAGAGGAUGCCAUGUUUCAUCUGAAUGAGUCUACCGCAGGGAAUCAACAGUCAGUUGGUGCUGAUUUUUCUGUGGAAGAGGAUUCUUCAGAAAGCUCCAUAAGACCAGUUUCUGUGGAACUACCUCAUGCAAUUUACUCAUCUAGUCGUCAGGGAUCGAGUACUCGGACUGCCAGGAGAACAUCAAGCUCUCGUUUUGAGCAAAGCCCCCCACAAACAUUUCGCAGUCUGGCGAGGGAGAGAGGUGGACACAGACGCAUAAACAUGGAAGGCAUUGCAGAGGUAUUGCUAGUGCUGGAGAGGAUUGAACAAGAAGCUGAGCUUACUUAUGAGCAGCAAUUGCGGGUACUGGAGACAAAUCUGUUACUUGGUGCCUUCGCCUCGCAUGAUCAGCAUAGCGACAUGCGGAUGGAUAUUGACAACAUGUCCUAUGAGGAACUAUUAGCAUUAGAAGAGAGAAUAGGAUACGUAAGUACUGCUCUUUCUGAAGAACAGUUUGCAAAAUGUAUCAGAAGGCGUUUAUAUAGACCAGUUGCUGCAAAAGGAAACAGAUCAGUCAUAGAUGACAUCAAAUGCAGCAUAUGCCAGGAGGAGUUCGUGAAGAGCGAAGAGGUUGGCAGGUUGCCGUGUGAGCACCAGUACCAUGUGUGCUGCAUUCGCCAGUGGCUCCUGCAGAAGAACUGGUGCCCAGUCUGUAAAACUCCAGCGCUGCCCUCUCUGAACUGA
This 1695-nucleotide ribosomal RNA is filed under the name Triticum aestivum (bread wheat). Its description in RNAcentral is "partial small subunit ribosomal RNA". Lineage: Eukaryota; Viridiplantae; Streptophyta; Magnoliopsida; Poales; Poaceae. The record is from RNAcentral.